RNAcentral lists this ribosomal RNA (491 nucleotides) under uncultured bacterium. Its description in RNAcentral is "partial 16S ribosomal RNA". It matches the Rfam family "Bacterial small subunit ribosomal RNA", at positions 29 to 506 of the family's 1533-position model. The record is from RNAcentral.
AGUGAACGCUGGCGGUAGGCCUAACACAUGCAAGUCGAACGGCAGCACAGUAAGAGCUUGCUCUUACGGGUGGCGAGUGGCGGACGGGUGAGGAAUACAUCGGAAUCUACUUUUUCGUGGGGGAUAACGUAGGGAAACUUACGCUAAUACCGCAUACGACCUACGGGUGAAAGCAGGGGAUCUUCGGACCUUGCGCGAUUGAAUGAGCCGAUGUCGGAUUAGCUAGUUGGCGGGGUAAAGGCCCACCAAGGCGACGAUCCGUAGCUGGUCUGAGAGGAUGGUCAGCCACACUGGAACUUGAGCACGGGCCAGGCUCCUACGGGAAGCAGCAGUGGGGAAUAUUGGACAAAGGGCGCAAGCCUGAUCCCGCCAUACCGCGGGGGUGAAGAAGGCCUUCGGGUUGUAAAGCCCUUUUGUUGGGAAAGAAAAGCAGCAGGUUAAUACCCCGCUGUUCUGACGGUACCCAAAGAAUAAGCACCGGCUAACUUCGU